RNAcentral lists this ribosomal RNA (457 nucleotides) under uncultured Acidovorax sp. RNAcentral describes it as "bacterial SSU rRNA". It matches the Rfam family "Bacterial small subunit ribosomal RNA", at positions 924 to 1382 of the family's 1533-position model. Lineage: Bacteria; Pseudomonadati; Pseudomonadota; Betaproteobacteria; Burkholderiales; Comamonadaceae. The record is from RNAcentral.
CACGAAGCGGUGGAUGAUGUGGUUUAAUUCGAUGCAACGCGAAAACCUUACCACCUUUGACAUGUACGGAAUCCUUUAGAGAUAGAGGAGUGCUCGAAAGAGAGCCGUAACACAGGUGCUGCAUGGCUGUCGUCAGCUCGUGUCGUGAGAUGUUGGGUUAAGUCUCGCAACGAGCGCAACCCUUGUCAUUAGUUGCUACAUUCAGUUGGGCACUCUAAUGAGACUGCCGGUGACAAACCGGAGGAAGGUGGGGAUGACGUCAAGUCCUCAUGGCCCUUAUAGGUGGGGCUACACACGUCAUACAAUGGAUGGUACAAAGGGUCGCCAACCCGCGAGGGGGAGCCAAUCCCAUAAAGCCAUUCGUAGUCCGGAUCGCAGUCUGCAACUCGACUGCGUGAAGUCGGAAUCGCUAGUAAUCGUGGAUCAGAAUGUCACGGUGAAUACGUUCCCGGGUCUU